GGAGUGUCAAAGGGGCGGACCCUUGGAAUAAGAGCAAAUGCCCGGGGUAAGGCUAUGCUGGACAGGGUUUGAAAGAGGAGGAGCUAUAUGGGGGAGGGCUCGAAAGGGCAGGACCCCAUGGGAGGUGAUGGGGAAGGCUCGAAAGGUGCGGGUCCCAGGAAGGGAAAUUUACUCUUGGGGGGGGGACCUGAUGGUGCCGGAUUCUUAAGGGGCGGGGCCUGGGCGGAGUUGAGGAGUGUGAGCUUUCUCAAGGGGCGGGGCUGUUGGUGGGAGGCUCUAAAUGAGACUGGGCUAGGACCUGGAGAUUUCUGAAGGGCGGGACAGGAAAGGGGAUCUAGAGGGGAAAAGCCCGAGAGAAGCCGACUGAGGGGAUGGUUCGGGGCCCGGAGAGAAGGCUGAACCGAGACGUUCCGAAGGGGGAGGGGCCGAAAGUUAUUUGUCCGCUCUGGCCGUUCCUCUUCCCUCCUCUCCUCGGGGCUUGGUGUGAGCUCACACCUGAUCGGGAGCCCAAGUCCCACCCGGGAGCCGGUGAGUGUUUGCGGGAGGGGCGGGACCUGGGUAGAGGGUUACAGGUGGUGAGGAGAACUACAGCUAGGGAAAGAGGUACCCAUUUGGGGCGUGGCUUGACUCAAGGGGAGGAGUUGCAGGUUUCAAGACAAGGUCCCGCAGAGGGUGGGCUUGGAGAUCCUUAGACUUGAGCGUGGGUGAAAGAAACAAGGGUAUCUCUCUGGCGGCUUGACUCGGAUUGGGGGGAGGGGUCAAUACGGAGGGGGCGGAGUCAUAGAUCUAGGGGCGGGGCGAUGGCUUCUGCUGACCCCAGACUCCUCUGACCUUGGUUUCCCGGGGUUGGUUGUAUUGCCUGCAGCCUCCCCCUCCCCCCCGGGCUGGGAAUGGGCAACGUGCAGUCUGAGCCACCCGGCUCAGAGCCCGGCAA
RNAcentral lists this long non-coding RNA (934 nucleotides) under Phascolarctos cinereus (koala). RNAcentral's name for it is "lncRNA (ENSPCIG00000034495.1)". Lineage: Eukaryota; Metazoa; Chordata; Mammalia; Diprotodontia; Phascolarctidae. The record is from RNAcentral.